This 123-nucleotide RNase P RNA is filed under the name Candidatus Eiseniibacteriota bacterium. RNAcentral's name for it is "partial RNase P RNA component class A". It matches the Rfam family "Bacterial RNase P class A", at positions 1 to 125 of the family's 367-position model. From Rfam's summary of the family: Ribonuclease P (RNase P) is a ubiquitous endoribonuclease, found in archaea, bacteria and eukarya as well as chloroplasts and mitochondria. Its best characterised activity is the generation of mature 5'-ends of tRNAs by cleaving the 5'-leader elements of precursor-tRNAs. Lineage: Bacteria; Candidatus Eiseniibacteriota. The record is from RNAcentral.
AGAGCAGGUGUGACCGUCGCGAGGUCGAUUCGUCGACUUCGAGGAAAGUCCGAGCUCCAUAGGACAGGGUGCUGGGCAACUCCCAGUGGGAGCGAUCCCAAGGAAAGUGCAACAGAAAGCAGA